UACGUAGGGGCCAAGCGUUGUCCGGAUUUAUUGGGCGUAAAGAGCGUGUAGGCGGCCAUGUAGGUCCGGUGUGAAAACUCGAGGCUUAACCUCGAGAUGUCAUCGGAAACCAUUUGGCUAGAGUCCGGAAGAGGAGAGUGGAAUUCCUGGUGUAGCGGUGAAAUGCGUAGAUAUCGGGAGGAACACCUGUGGCGAAGGCGGCCCCCUGGUUGGAUACUGACGCUGAUACGCGAAAGCGUGGGGAGCAAACAGG
This 253-nucleotide ribosomal RNA is filed under the name uncultured bacterium. RNAcentral's name for it is "partial 16S ribosomal RNA". It matches the Rfam family "Bacterial small subunit ribosomal RNA", at positions 524 to 776 of the family's 1533-position model. The record is from RNAcentral.